GGGUGAUUAGCUCAGUUGGGAGAGCAUCGCCCUUACAAGGCGAGGGUCACUGGUUCGAGCCCAGUAUCACCCACCA
RNAcentral lists this transfer RNA (76 nucleotides) under Thiomicrospira sp. RNAcentral's name for it is "tRNA-Val". It matches the Rfam family "tRNA". Rfam says of the family: Transfer RNA (tRNA) molecules are approximately 80 nucleotides in length. Their secondary structure includes four short double-helical elements and three loops (D, anti-codon, and T loops). Further hydrogen bonds mediate the characteristic L-shaped molecular structure. tRNAs have two regions of fundamental functional importance: the anti-codon, which is responsible for specific mRNA codon recognition, and the 3' end, to which the tRNAs corresponding amino acid is attached (by aminoacyl-tRNA synthetases). tRNAs cope with the degeneracy of the genetic code in two manners: having more than one tRNA (with a specific anti-codon) for a particular amino acid; and 'wobble' base-pairing, i.e. permitting non-standard base-pairing at the 3rd anti-codon position. Lineage: Bacteria; Pseudomonadati; Pseudomonadota; Gammaproteobacteria; Thiotrichales; Piscirickettsiaceae. The record is from RNAcentral. RNAcentral also lists the same sequence under 26 other names.